Molecule: ribosomal RNA, 253 nt
Filed under: uncultured prokaryote
Description: partial 16S ribosomal RNA
Rfam family: Bacterial small subunit ribosomal RNA
Source: RNAcentral
ACAGAGGUCCCAAGCGUUGUUCGGAUUCACUGGGCGUAAAGGGUGCGCAGGUGGGUUUGCAAGUUUGAUGUGAAAGCCCCGGGCUUAACCCGGGAAUGGCAUUGAAUACUGCAGAUCUGGAGGAUCGGAGGGGGGACUGGAAUUCUUGGUGUAGCAGUGAAAUGCGUAGAUAUCGGGAGGAACAUCAGUGGCGAAGGCGGCUACCUGGCCCAAUACUGACACUCAGGUGCGACAGCGUGGGGAGCAAACAGGA